GACGAACGCUUGCGGCGUGCCUAAGAAAUGCAAGUCGAGCGGAGAAGUAGCAAUACUUCUUAGCGGCGAACGGUCGCGUAACACGUAAGCAACCUGCCGAAAAGACCGGGACAACAUCUCGAAAGGGGUGCUAAUACCGGAUGUGGCCACUUUCUCGCAUGGGAGAGUGAUUAAACCGAGCAAUCGGCUUUUCGAGGGGCUUGCGGCCUAUCAGCUAGAUGGUGGGGUAACGGCCACCAUGGCGACGACGGGUAGCUGGUCUGAGAGGACGGCCAGCCGGACUGGGACUGAGAUACGGCCCAGACUCCUACGGGGGGCAGCAAUUAGGAAUCUUGCACAAAUGGGGCGAAAAGCCUGAAUGCAGCGACGCCGCGUGGAGGAGGAAGGCCU
Molecule: ribosomal RNA, 390 nt
Filed under: uncultured bacterium
Lineage: Bacteria
Description: bacterial SSU rRNA
Rfam family: Bacterial small subunit ribosomal RNA
Source: RNAcentral